RNAcentral lists this non-coding RNA (445 nucleotides) under Pongo abelii (Sumatran orangutan). The record is from RNAcentral. Lineage: Eukaryota; Metazoa; Chordata; Mammalia; Primates; Hominidae.
CGAUCAGCCCGAAACUUCAACAUCUUUUUGACAGCUCCGUCCCCAGGUUGGCAGCCUCAAAGGACCCACCGGCCACCCUGAUCCUACCAUGCCUCUGAGAAAGAUCCUUCAGAUCCUGUGGGCAUAAGGGUUAAAUGAAGCUCCAGAUUCAUCUGCUGUUAUUGCUGCCGCUGCUGAGAAGCUGAGAUUGAUUGAGCAGGUCUCCUUUCUCUUCUGUCAGCCUGCCCAGCCUUCUUCUGUGUGGACAGGAGCAUAAUGAAUGAAGAUCCUCUGCCCCGUCCCUCCGACUUGCUCCCCUCAGACAGCACGGGGUUGCUUUUCCUCCCUGUGUGGCGGUCCUACCGAAGAGAAGCAAGUCGACCAGAUGGGCGUGGACGUUGUGGAACCAGAGCUGGUGGCUAGGAUGGGGCUGCUCAGGCAAUAUUAAAGGAGAGCUUCCUCUCAA